This is an RNA transcript of Macadamia integrifolia, 6463 nucleotides long. It is a transcript of the gene named 50S ribosomal protein L17-like, with no coding region annotated. Lineage: Eukaryota; Viridiplantae; Streptophyta; Magnoliopsida; Proteales; Proteaceae. The record is from RefSeq and is a predicted model, not a curated record. The transcript has 6 exons.
UUUUGCCUGAGUUUUGAUUAGUUUGUUGUUUUAUUUUCGUUUAAUUUUUGUAUUUAAUGAUCACGACCUCCAGCAAAUAAGAAACUGGUUCAUCAUAGGAAGUCCCGCUGGAAACAUUCAGAUUCAGACCGGAUGCAGUCAGUAGUUGUGGAUGCAAUGCAUCCCACUACUUCAUCGACAAUGUUAUGAGCAACCCUUUCCCGAUGGAUUACUCGGCGACACUACUUUGAAAAUGUGUGUGUGUUACAAUAAGAUCACUUUCUCCAAGACGAUUUUUCUGCCAUGACACCAGCGGCCCCUUUUCAAGUUGUCAUGUACAGUUUAGCACUUUCGCUGCACAUCUGUUGUGUGAUUUUCUUCUUGAUCAAUCAACUUGCUUCCCAUACAAUAUUAAACAUUGACCAUUGAAAUGGUAAAAUGACAUGGUCAAUCGGGUCUAAUCAGGCCCAGCCCAGCCCAAUCAAGGUCAAUCAGGGCCGGGCUGGGUUGGCAUGAGCCUGGCAUAGGCUGAGAUAUCCCAGCCUGUGCUGAGAUUAGGGGUCCUAAGGUUUGGCUGGGGUUUUAAAAAGCCCAUAGUAACCCAGCCUUGUUACACCCCUAAAUGCAGGAUUCGGGAUGCUACUCAAAGAAAUUGCAAAGGGUUGGUGUGUGGAAGUACUCAGUUCUUAGACUUAAGGGUCCAGCAGCCAAUAUCCUUGUAGAAAAGUCUCAUGAUGGAGAUACAUGCCACUCCGUUUCAAUGUCCUUCUUACAAAAGUAAUAGUAUGAGUCCACUAGUGAAAAGUAUAUCUAGUUGCUCAUAACGGACAAAAAUCUUCCAAAACUUUUCAUAGGAGCAUACAAAAUUUAGGAUGAAUUCUCAAAUGCCUGACAGCUUCUUAACUUCCUAUUAGAACUACUCCUAUCUAAUUCAAAAGAACUUUGAAUCAACCAUUUAACAACAAUUUUGGAAUUAGAAGUCCCAGUUUUACAGUAAAUACAAAACCAAAAAUCCUCAAAAGGUGACAAUCUUAAUGGAAUAUGUAUAACAUUAUUAGCUACUUCACUUAGGAAAAGAGAAUUCAACAGACUAGCAUUCCAAGACCCAUUAUAAAUAAGUUCAUUUACAUGAGUCUAAUGCAGGUUAAUAGGAGUAGAAGGGUCUCUAAAAUUUUGAUGUAAGGAAUUCAUGGGUCAUGCCGUAUUGAUAUAUUAGUGCCACAAUGUAAUCUAUCAAGGAGAUGAACUUUAGCAAUACUAUUCCAAAUCAUUGAUCCUCAUUAGUCUAUGUAGAUGGAUGGGGCAGACUAUUGUGAAGGGAAAUAGAUUAGCCCAUAGUCUAUUUAGUUGUGUAAGAACAUACUACGCCGAUCUUUAUAUGUUUUGGCCACGUCCGUUUCCGCUCCGACGAGGAAGGUUUGGAUCUUUCAAUCUUAUGUCGUGAGGGAUGUGAGCUAUGUUAGGCCCAUAAGAUACCACAACUUUUGGUGUUUUAUGAUUCACCUCCGAAUAAUGAGUAGGUAGUUCGAUCCUUUUGAUUCUUUGCUUCCUAGUAAACUGAUGGGGGGAUUUGGUGCAACAGGUCGAAUUACUAUAUAAAGAAGAGUUGUUAACUAUAGGACAUCUAGUUCGAGUAGGAAGAUUUUGGUUUUUCUCGUUCCUUCUCUUCACCAAUUUAGGAAGUAGAGCUUUAUUAUGGAGAACAAACAGUUUAAGGAUUUUGAUUUACACAAAUUAUGCCAUGGCAGGGCUCCAGUUAUGCUUUUCUUCUCCACCCCAUUUCAAGAAUUUGAAUUUAUUGUAUCUGAUUUAGAACAUAUUUUGAUUCAAUUAGCAAAACAUGGCAUCCAAUAAAUUGGUAUAGAACUUAGAUUUGAUUUUAUUAGAACAAACCUACCUACUAGGGAAAGCAAGGGUAUUUUCCAACUCCCAGUUUCCUCUCUACUUUACUUAUAAGAUUUUGCCAUACCUGAGAUUUAUUUCUAGUGAAAAAUACAGGUGUUCCAUGAUAAGUAACGUUUUCCCCAAUAGUGUUAAUUCCUAAACUACAGGACACCAUGUUCCUGGUUCUCUCUCCAACAUGCCUACUGUAGAUCACUCCAUUUUUUCUUAAAAUUAAUUUGCUGGCCAGACCGAUCUUGAACGAGAUUUAGUACAACAUGUAUAGUAGAUAUAUCGUUUUGGUUAGCUCUACAAAAAAUAAAAGGUAUCAUCGAUAAAGAGCAGGGGAGUAAGUUUAGGACUGUUCAUACCUAUCUACCCUUAUGCUCUUGAAUUAAACAUAUCCAUAUCUGUUCACUUAUAAAUAUUGUCUACAAACGAAUGAAUGUAUAAUGGAAAAAACUAUUAAAGGAGAGUAAACCUCACAAGCUUUCUAAUGUGAGAGAUACAAAGAAUACCAUCCUUAAGAAGAGGGAAGAUAAAUGAGAGAGAGAGAAUAAUAAAUCCCAAAAAGAAUGUUUACAAGACUACAACAUGUGGUAUUUAUAGUUUUUGAUGGGCACAAAACAUGUAUCUUUGUAUUGAAAAGAUACAUCUUUAUGGCUUGAAUAGGCAUGAUUAUGCCUUGAAGAGACAACUAUGUCGUGAAAAAGCAUAUUUAGAUAGAGAUGCAUAUUAAAAAGAAAAAAAAAAUUUAUGAAACAAAUGACCUUUUUUUUUUUAAUGAAUCACUAUAUAUUUGCUUAUCUAAGAGAUUCACAUUUUAUGAAUCAAUCCUAGAAGAUAUUAUUUUAUUAUUAAAAAUACUACACAUUUACAUUUAGUUGUAAAUACUAUAUAUUUACUUAUAGUUGUAUGAUGGGUAAAAAUAUUCAUACACAUGCGUAUCAUGUAAGUACAUUUUAUUGAAAAUAUGUUCCCAUAUAAAAAUAUAUUCUCAUAUUACUAAACAUCAUUUGAUUAGACUAUUCUUUCAUUUCAAUCUCGCAAGAAUGAACAAUGUAAGAAACACAAAGGUAGGUAGGCAAUUAAUAAAUGUAUUCCACCUUAAAUACAUUCCAUAAGCAAAUUACCCUCGAACCUUGUAGUAAGAAAUCAUUAAGUGCUUACUUUAACAUGAUUAAGAGGAUUAAACCAUGAUCUCUCUCUCUCUCUUUUGGUGCAAAGGCUCCAACAAAGUGGGAGAAUUUAUUUAGUCCUUAUCGGGGAUCGGGGAAAGCAACCUUGAUCUUAAUCACAAAGAAAUCAAAUAAAUAAUGUUUACACUCAUCUAACAAACGAAUUGAUAAAAUAUGCAACAAAUUAGAGGCCAUGUGCUAAUCCUAGUUUAAUAGUAGCUUUAGAGCCUUAAAGAAAAAGUCACGAGAAGUGACCUUGACCCCUACUCAUGCAAAAGCAAAUCCAUUAAAAGUGAUUCUCUUUUACACUCCAAAAUAUCUAUGGAUUUGUUAAAGGAAGAAUUAUUAACCUCCUAUAUAUAUAUGUAAAGUGUGCUAACCUAUAAGAACGAAAUAUUGUAGGAAUAAUUCCAACAAUAAGAUUUUUUUUUUUUGUUGACGAUACCUUUAUUAUUUUUGUAAAACUAACAAGAUUGAUAUUUCAACUUUGCAUGCUAUACUUAAUCUCUUCCAAGACUUAUCCAGGGCCUCCAGGCUGCAGAUUAAUUUCAAGUAGGGUGGUGUAAUAUUCAAUAGUCGUGUUGGGGUGGGCAUAAGGAAUAUGGUUAAAUGUAGAUUGGGGGUCAGUCUUAUUCUUGAGGGUGAUACCUACUUUGGUACCUUUUUUUUUUCCGUAGGAAUAUGAUAGCUUAUUAUUCAUAGGGUGGAUGGGAAAUUAGGUAAAUGGAAGAUUCUUCAACUUUCUCAAGUUGGUAGGUCGAUUUAAUAAAGUUUGUUCUUAGAUCUAUCCCAACAUAUUGGAUGUCAUGUUAUCCUUCUUCCUUCCAGAACGUUUGCUAAAUUGGAUUCUAUUAGUUAUGGGUUUUGGAAAGGGUUGAACACCAACAUCAAAAGUGUAGUCCGGUAGCUUGGACCUCUCUAUGUCGGCCUAUGUCUUUUGGGGGGUUAGGUUUUUGUCUUAUGGCUUUACAUAAUAAGGUUUGUUGUUGAAGUUGGCUUGACAUCUCCUUACCAAUACUAAUCAGUUAUGGGCUAGAUUACUUAGAGGUAAAUAUUUCAUCAAUUAUAGUUUAUUGCAUUCUUCUACUUUGUUGAAAAAGGGGUCAUGAUAUUGGAAUAGUAUUUCUAAAUGCUUCCUUCUCUUAAGCAAUUGCCUUGUUGGAGAGUAGGGCAUGGUUCAAAUAUUUCUAUUGGGAUGACCCUUGGGUUCCCUACAUAGAUGAUUUCCGAAUUACUACUGCAGGAUUUAUUAACCCUCUUUAUGCUCAAGUUAGUGAGCUUAUCCAGGGUCGGAGUUGGAGUGUAAGCUUUGUUUGUUCCUUGUUUUCACCUCCUGUUGCUAAUGCUGUUUUAUUUAUUGCUUUAAGUGUUCAACUUUCACAUGAUUUUUGGAUCUUUUAUAAGGACUGGUGCUUUCUCAACUAAGUUAGCUAGUAAAUGGUUGAUUAUGGUUCAGAGGGAUGUGGUUGCUAAUAUUAGUACUAGUAAAUUAUGAGAUUUUGCUUUUCAGUUAUGUGCUAGAUUACUUAAAGGUAAGUAUUUCUUCAAAGUUCAAUCAUAGUUUGUUGAAAAAGGGGUCAUUUAUUUUGAAUAAUAAAAUGCUUCCUUAGCUUAAGCAGUUGCCGUGUUGGAGAGUAGGGGAUGGUUCAAAUAUUUCUAUCUGGAAUGACCCUUGGGCUUUCUACAUAGAUAAUUUCCGAAUUACUACUGCUGGAUUUGUUAAUCCUCUUUGAGUUAGUGAGUUUAUCCAGGGUUGGGGUUGGAAUGUAAGUCUUGUUUGUUUCUUGUUUCCACCUCUUGUAGCUAAUGCCGUUUUGUUUAUUCCUUUACAAGUGUUCAACUUUCACAUGAUUUUUGGAUUUGUCUUUUUAGUAGGACUGGCGCUUUCUCGACUAACAUAGCUACUAAAAUGGUUGAUAUGGUUCAGAGGAUGGGGUUGCAACUAGUAAAUUAUGAAAUUUGGAUAGAUUGCCAAGAAAUGGUGUCAUGGUUAGCCAAGGGUCUCGAGCAGGGUGGCCUUGGGAAAUGUCUUCAUUACUUCAUGAAGUUUUUGUGUUAAUGAGGAUGUUUGAAAUGUUUGUAUUUUGAAGGAGGAUAGCCGAACUGUCUUGGUAGCUCAUAGCGUAGCUACUAAAAACGCACUGGAAACUUGGCUCCAAUUCUUUUAUAGAUUUUCAGUAGUGGACAAAUCUAAGAACGCACUGGAAAUUCUUCUGUAUUUUCGAUAUGACAGUUUCGGAAGCUUGGCCGUCUAACCGGCCAUCUGAUGUCGAUGCUCAGGACGAUAGUUUCAGAGUUGGUGAAGCAUGACUGUAUUGAAACUGUGGUCGCAAAGGUGAAGGAAAUACGGGGACUGGCUGAUAGCAUGGUGCAGCUCGGGAAAGAGGUAAGAGACAGUUGUCUCAGCGUCUAGGCAACCUCAGGUGUUGGAGGGGGUCUAAACGCAAGGCGACACCUACAAGGCAUCCACCUAGACAACUAUGGCAUGCUGCUGCUUUUUUGCGAGGUGAUGAUGCCUUUCACUAGCUAAAUAAGCUAUUUACUGAGCUGGCUUAUUGCUACAAGUGAUUUUUCUUUUUCCACCCUGAUUUUCCUUUUUUCUUUCUUUCCCUGCUAGUGUUUCAUCAAAGCAAGUCUAAGUGCAUGUUUCUGUGUUGGCAGAGAUAGAGCUGGUGGAUAUACCAGAUUACUUCGAACUCGCAUAUGAGUUAGUGAUGCUGCACCUAUGGCCUAUAUUGAGUUCGUUGACACAGUGAAUGAACUUUCUCGGCAGUCAAGACCAGGAUUCCCUCACCCGCUGGCAAGAGUGCCCUUGGAUCCUUGGAUAAGGACUCGCCUUAAGCCAGCAGUUUGCACCUCCUAAAGUGGAUGAUAACACUUCCCGACCUGAAUCUUGAAGUAGAUCUUCCCAUUUGGAUCCUACAAGUGUUGGGUGUUUAAUCUGUGAGCCUACACUGCCUGUCCUAAGCUCGCAUGAAGGAGGGUUGGUGCGUCAAGUCAACAUAUUCCAUUUUUAUUGGCAGGGGGUGGUGGAAAGGAGAUUUAUUAAGGCUUUGUGGUGUUGGGUGAAGUGCUUGGAUAAUCAUUACACUAUCAUGACUUAACCACUCUUGCCUUUUUGACCUGAUAACAAUUAGAACUGCCCUGAACUGUUAUCCUUGAUUGCCUUGUGGGAUGAUCUUUAGAAUUUCAAUUCAUGGCCCAUUGACUUUGACACCUAGGCAGAUAGGUCCAAGUUUAUAAUCAAAGUUAAGCUUGUGCUUUAUAUUGCGCACGUGUGUAAGAGAAAGAGGGAAUCCCACGAGCUAAAUUUUGUUGGGUGGGAGAGCUACAUUGUUGGAGUACAAUUUCCCACCAAUAAAAGGGUGGGUGUUCAAAUCGUUUAGAAUCAUGCUUUGAUUGCUUUCCUUUCUGCGAAGGCAAAA